RNAcentral lists this ribosomal RNA (253 nucleotides) under uncultured bacterium. RNAcentral's name for it is "partial 16S ribosomal RNA". It matches the Rfam family "Bacterial small subunit ribosomal RNA", at positions 524 to 776 of the family's 1533-position model. The record is from RNAcentral.
GACGAACCGUGCGAGCGUUAUUCGGAAUCACUGGGCUUAAAGGGCGCGUAGGCGGGUUGCCAAGUCGGAGGUGAAAUCCUGCAGCUCAACUGCAGAAGUGCCCCCGAUACUGGCAGUCUCGAGUGAGGUAGGGGCAUGUGGAACUUCCGGUGGAGCGGUGAAAUGCGUAGAUAUCGGAAGGAACGCCGGUGGCGAAAGCGACGUGCUGGACCUCAACUGACGCUGAGGCGCGAAAGCCAGGGGAGCGAACGGG